This 3013-nucleotide long non-coding RNA is filed under the name Apteryx rowi (Okarito brown kiwi). Its description in RNAcentral is "lncRNA (ENSARWG00000013553.1)". The record is from RNAcentral. Lineage: Eukaryota; Metazoa; Chordata; Aves; Apterygiformes; Apterygidae.
AUGGCAGCCACCAAUAGAGCAAGGCGUGCAGCGGAGCAAACAGCGUGUUCUUCCUGUAGCAUAAAGCUUGGCUCUGGUGGUGCUCCUGUAUUCAGAGGUGCAGCUCCCCUGUUCUCCUGCCCUGAUGUGAUUGGAAUGGGUGAAUGGAUUCAAGAAAUGCUGAAAUGGUGCAUAUCCAGCAUCAAAUACAAUUUUAAGCCCUUACUAGUUGUCACUAGCCCAGACAUUUAAGCGUGCUUGUAACCUCAUGCAUGCUGCAACAGAAGAGUCGAAGGUUCAGGACGAUAUUGGUGGAAUGAUUUUAACUCAAUGUCCUUAUUACUGAGCUGUUGAUGGGCAAUCUGUGCAUGCAAGUGAAAAAUGCGAGUAAUGAAUACGUCAUGGAUGCUCAAGUUCCUCUGUGUCCUGGGGCAAAAGCUCUGGAGAUCCCGGAGGUUCAAGUAGCCCCGCACUUCUUGAGAUCUAAAAUUCGCAUCUGCCUUCAAUGGCUUGGACUUAACCUUAAUAUAAGCAACCACUUUGGCAUGUUACACUGAGACUCUGUAUCUGGAUGGUGUUGCAAUGUCCUUUGGGCUAUGGGAGAAGACAGUGCGCUUGAAAUAUGCAUGUUUGAGCAAGUUCUAUGCAGCUUGCCUUUGCUGGAGCCUGACUUCCUUUCUUGGAUGGAGCCAGAGAUUUGCGGGCUCUAAUAACAUGGCAGCUCACCAACUUGGCAUAUAGAAAUGAGAAGGGUGCGUCCCUGUUCCAGUUACAUAAAAAUGUCAAAGCGUGUGGAGAGCAAAUGAAGGUAGCAUGAAGACCCAGUUUAUUUUCUUUCUUUCAAAGUGUAUUGUGUUUCUUGCUGCUCAGAAUGGUUUCAUAAUUAAAAACAUAUGGUGAAAAUUUCUGGGUAUCAGUAGAGAGUUGAGAUCUGAACUCAGGUCUAAUCUGGUCUACUUAAUCCUGUGGCUGUCAGGUGAGUAAAACUUCUUGUAGCCUAAUUUCUUGGCAUUUAAACAUAAGGAGCAAAAGAAAUGGGCAUAAAAUUAUGACCAGAAGAGCACUGGUGUAGGUGAUUUCCUGGGAGGGAUUGUUCCAACCUUUCCUCUGACAGACGCACCGCUGUAACUUCUGCUCUUGUGAUCAGGUUCAUAAAAUGUGCCAUGGAGCUGGUACGUAACCCACUGCUAGCCGUGUGAUGAACUGGCUAACCCACUGCAAUCUCAGAAACCCCAGACUAUUACAGCAUGGAGUAUUCUUUGUUUUCCAGCUUUACCAACGUGCGCAGGAUCGUGUUUCAGAGCUGUACCCUGUAGCCAUGUGGACCAGAUGUUUCCUUCUGACAGUGGGGAGGAUUGAGACUAAUGUAACUACAGGUUUUCAGGAGUGCAGACUUUAAAACAAAUUAUCAAAAGUUGCAAAAUUUGUUGUAAAGCUGAGAGUUCAUGUUUUACUUGUUGCUGUUGUUCCAAAUGUAAAACCGGAGAGCACUUCAACGUCAUUGUUACUGCACUUUUCCCCAUGAGGAAAAGUGCCUUUGGCCUGCUGGGAAUGACAAACAAUACUGGCAAAAGGAAAGUCAACAAGGCUAAAAUCAAAAUGCUUGUAUUUAUAAUUGCUUUUAGCGUGGUCCCUAGAAGGCUCCUGUAACAGAUGCAGGGUCCUGUAGGGUUAGGUGCUAUGCAGAAAUAGAACAGAACACAAUCCCAGUCCCUGAAUGGUUCAAGUUAUGUAGGAGUUCUCCACGGGCCAGAUGACAUCAACAUGCUUGGAGACCAUGUUACAGACAUACUGUUUUUAACUGACAAUCAUUUUUAGACUUUUUUUCAAUUGCAAAUUAAAUCUCUUCCAUCUUGUCAACGGCUCAUGGAUGGCCACUGUAGAAGGUUCCCUUUUGUGAGACAAAAAGGCUACAAAAAUAACAGAAGUGAAUGUCUGCAGCUGAAGAAGUUUGGCUCAGGCUUGAAAUGUUUGCUUUGGGUGGGAUCCAGGCCCUGCUGAGGUCUGCAGGAGUUCUACUCUUGGCCUCAGUGGGGCCAAGCUUUCACCCUUGGAGAUCAUGUCCUGAGGAAGAAUUUAGUCUAAAAUAAUUUUCAGAACUUGUAUAGUUUGACUCAAAUCCAAGUAUUUUUUAAGACUGAGUAGCUUUGUGUUUCUGAUUGACUCAAAUUGCUCCUUUUAGCAUCUUCCAUCAGUGAGCUCCCAAAGAAGGGAGAAGGCUAACCAUGUUCACCAGUGCAGCCCAGUAUGUGUGGCCAGCAAAUUGAGGGGAAUGUUCAUUUCCCUCAGCCCUGGUGAGGCUGCAUCUGGACACAGUGCCUUGUUCUCAGCCAGUGAGGGCAAGAGAGACAUCCACCAACUGGAGCGAGUCCAAUGCAGGACCAUGGCAAUGGUGGGGCUGGAGGCCAGGGCGUACAAGGAGAGGCUGCAAGAGCUGGGCUUAUUCAGCCAAAAGACGAGAAGGUGAAGGAGGAUCCAGCUGCUUCUUCCAGUGCCCAAAAGGGUUACAGAGAUGAUGGGGUUAGACUCUGCUCAGAAGGGCACAGUUAAAGCACCAGAGGCACUAGCACAAACUGCAACAGGGGAAAUGCCGGCUGGACCUCAGGAAACAGUCCUUCCCCGUGCAAGUGGUGCUUUUUGGGAUAGGUCCCUGAGCAGUGGGGGAUCUCCAUCCUUGGGGAUUGCCCAGACUUGCCUGGACACAGCCCUGAGCAACCUGCUGUGACAUUGGCCCUGCUGUGAGCUGGGGUCAGACAGGAGACAUCCAGGGGUCCCUUCCAGCUUAACUCUGUGAUUUUAAAGUUAUUAAGAUUUAUGUAAGUCUUUUUUCCUCAAAAUAGAAAUAUAUUGUUAGAUUCUUUAGAGACUUUUAAUCACAUCUUAAAAAUGAAAUGGCCUCACUGAUGAAGACUAGUGUGCGGAAAUAGGACUGGUACCCCACAACUGAAAAAAUGAAUGAUAACGUUUUUUCAAAGAAGAUAUAUUGAUUAGGAUCAGGUGUGAAUAAACCUGCUGCUAGGUUCCUAUCCUAACA